This is a non-coding RNA of Mycena olivaceomarginata, 93 nucleotides long. The record is from the annotation of a GenBank genome assembly. Lineage: Eukaryota; Fungi; Basidiomycota; Agaricomycetes; Agaricales; Mycenaceae.
GCGCCCUUAGUGUAAGGUAACACACGUCUUACAUCUGCUUUGUUGCGAAGAAGGAUUCAAGACGAACCCGGGGUUCGAUUCCCCGAGGGUGCA